GACGUAGGUGGCGAACGUUAUCCGGAAUUAUUGGGUUUAAAGGGUGCGUAGGCGGCCUUGUAAGUCAGUGCUGAAAUAUCCCGGCUUAACCGGGAGGGUGGCAUUGAUACUGCAGGGCUUGAGUAAAGUUGAGGUUGGCGGAAUUGACGGUGUAGCGGUGAAAUGCUUAGAUAUCGUCAAGAACACCGAUAGUGAAGACAGCUAACUAAGCUUUAACUGACGCUGAGGCACGAAAGUGUGGGGAUCAAACAGG
This 253-nucleotide ribosomal RNA is filed under the name uncultured bacterium. Its description in RNAcentral is "partial 16S ribosomal RNA". It matches the Rfam family "Bacterial small subunit ribosomal RNA", at positions 524 to 776 of the family's 1533-position model. The record is from RNAcentral.